AUUGAACGCUGGCGGCAUGCUUUACACAUGCAAGUCGAACGGUAACAGGGUGCUUGCACCGCUGACGAGUGGCGAACGGGUGAGUAAUGCAUCGGAACGUACCCAGUCGUGGGGGAUAACGUAGCGAAAGUUACGCUAGUACCGCAUACGUCCUGAGGGAGAAAGCGGGGGACCGUAAGGCCUCGCGCGAUUGGAGCGGCCGAUGUCGGAUUAGCUAGUUGGUAGGGUAAAGGCCUACCAAGGCGACGAUCCGUAGCGGGUCUGAGAGGAUGAUCCGCCACACUGGGACUGAGACACGGCCCAGACUCCUACGGGAGGCAGCAGUGGGGAAUUUUGGACAAUGGGCGAAAGCCUGAUCCAGCCAUGCCGCGUGAGUGAAGAAGGCCUUCGGUUGUAAGACUCUUUCUAGCCGGAAAGAAAGUACGCGCAGGAUAAUACUACUGCGUGGAUGACGUACCGGCAGAAGAAGACACCGGCUAACU
This 482-nucleotide ribosomal RNA is filed under the name uncultured bacterium. RNAcentral describes it as "bacterial SSU rRNA". It matches the Rfam family "Bacterial small subunit ribosomal RNA", at positions 29 to 502 of the family's 1533-position model. The record is from RNAcentral.